Molecule: non-coding RNA, 558 nt
Organism: Misgurnus anguillicaudatus (oriental weatherfish)
Lineage: Eukaryota; Metazoa; Chordata; Actinopteri; Cypriniformes; Cobitidae
Source: RefSeq, a predicted model, not a curated record
UCAGACCUGUCCUCACCAGAGCGGGAAGCUGUGGAGGAGUUGGUGCCCAGCAUUCGCAGAUCCAACGUGCCUCACAUCACACUGGCUCCAGACGUCCGCAGACGACCGAGGCAUGCAACGAGCGAGUACUCCACGCGAUGCAGCUUCACGGACUGCGUUCGGGUGAACGGAGAAGCCAUCGCCCAGCAUGAAAGCGACCAAUCUGUCAAGCUGCAGCACAUUUUGUCCAUUGCUGAUUCUGGCACAUUCAGUAUAGGCGAUCAUCUAGGGUUCUGUGGGGUGGCCCUACGCAACACAAAACUGUUCCCACCACUAUCUCCUCUGCCCUGCAUGGAGAGUGUUCAGCAUAAAGCAUGUGCAUAAGUAGACCCUGGGUAGUUCUCAAGCACAUGGCCUUUUGGACAAUUGAUAACAGACGGUCUUUCUUUCUGGUGGCAUCUGGUAGAGAAGCUUCAGCUGUGAGCCGGUUGGUUGACAUUGACGAGCGGAGCUUCGCACUCAAAGUUAAAUAUAGUUUUCAGCGUGGAGCUGCUUGCUUAUUGGAAAAACGAGCGUGUC